UUUAAGUGCAGUUAUCGGUUUCUAUAUCCAACAUUUGAUCGUUCAUCUUAUUUGAAAUUUUUUUAUAAUUAGUAUUGUUAUUGUUAUUAGAUAAUAAAACACGAAUAUCACUUCAUGCGUGACUUAUUUUUUUAUUUCUUUUCAUAUUUUUUUCAAAUAAAGCGGACGGGCAAACAUUUGAUAUAGAAACCCACAGACUACACUUAAA
This is a microRNA precursor of Oryza rufipogon (brownbeard rice), 208 nucleotides long. It matches the Rfam family "MIR812 microRNA precursor family". NCBI's taxonomy places the organism in Eukaryota, Viridiplantae, Streptophyta, Magnoliopsida, Poales, Poaceae. The record is from Rfam.